This 57-nucleotide transfer RNA is filed under the name Dipodomys ordii (Ord's kangaroo rat). It matches the Rfam family "tRNA", at positions 8 to 63 of the family's 71-position model. Rfam says of the family: Transfer RNA (tRNA) molecules are approximately 80 nucleotides in length. Their secondary structure includes four short double-helical elements and three loops (D, anti-codon, and T loops). Lineage: Eukaryota; Metazoa; Chordata; Mammalia; Rodentia; Heteromyidae. The record is from Rfam by way of RNAcentral.
UAGCUCAGUGGUAGAGUGCUUGCCUUGCAUGCAGGAGGCCUUGGGUUCAAUUCCUCA